Molecule: ribosomal RNA, 502 nt
Filed under: uncultured bacterium
Lineage: Bacteria
Description: bacterial SSU rRNA
Rfam family: Bacterial small subunit ribosomal RNA
Source: RNAcentral
UGAACGCUGGCGGCGUGCUUAACACAUGCAAGUCGCACGAGAACGCUUCAGCUUGCUGAGGCUAGUAAAGUGGCGCACGGGUGAGUAACGCGUGGGUAAUCUCCCCCCGAAUUGGGGAUAACAUCGCGAAAGCGAUGCUAAUACCGAAUGAUAUCUGAAAAAUCCCGAUUUUUUGGAUCAAAGGUGGCCUCUACAUGUAAGCUACUGUUUGGGGAUGAGCCCGCGUACCAUUAGCUUGUUGGUAGGGUAAUGGCCUACCAAGGCUACGAUGGUUAGCUGGUCUGAGAGGAUGAUCAGCCACACUGGAACUGACACACGGUCCAGACUCCUACGGGAGGCAGCAGUGAGGAAUUUUGCGCAAUGGGGGAAACCCUGACGCAGCAACGCCGCGUGAGUGAUGAAGGCUUUCGGGUCGUAAAGCUCUGUCAAGUGGGAAGAAAACAUAUGGUGACAAUACCGCUGUAUGCUGACGGUACCACUGAAGGAAGCACCGGCUAACUCC